AUGAAGUUCAGUGCAGUUCCAAGUUUGGUUGAGUGUCUGACCUCCGCCGGUCAUCCAGUCUCCAGUGGUUUGUCGUCGCCGACACGCUCCCACAUUCGCCACUGCAGGAAGGAGCAAGACCUCCCACGUCUGACCCGGUCGUCCUCCAGCUCCGGCUCCUCACGGGUCAACCAGCUGCUAAACAAACUCAAGGAUUAUCUUGGCUCUGGGACGCUCAGGCCGGAGCUCGCGCACCAACUGUUCGUCGAAUUGUUUCGUCAAACCGUUCCGGUAUCAGCAGACGCACUCAAUGUCUUAUUUUCUGCCCUCGCGUGUGGGCUGCCCUCUGCCGCCUGCAAUGAUGGUCCUGCCCUCGCAAUCGCCCUCUUCAAACACAUGGCACGAGCAAGAUGCCGCCAGGUGAUGGCACCCACCAAUCACACUUACAACACACUAAUUGAGUGCUGCCACAUGGCACGCCGCCCUGACAUAGGGCUCGUCUUCUUUGGCCUCCUCCUCAAGAUAGGCAUCACGGCAGAUGUCUUCACCUUCAACAGCUUAUUGAAGUGCCUCUGUGACAUGAAGCAAACAGAUGAGGCUCUAGGCGUGCUGCUCCACAGGAUGCCCGGCGACAUGCCUGAUGUCAUCUCCUACUCAGUAAUUAUCAAGAGCUUCUGUGACAACGGGAGGAGCCACCGUGCACUUGACCUGCUCCGGAUGAUGACCAAAAAGGGAUAUGACCACUCCCCCAAUGUGGUUUCAUACACAAUAAUCAUUGAUGGAUUAAUUAAGGAGGGUGAACUAAGCAAAGCAUGUGCUCUAUUCCAUGAAAUGAUGCAGCAGGGGGUUGUGCCUGAUGUGGUGACGUAUAGCUCCAUUAUCGAUGGGUUGUGCAAAGCAAGAGCAUUGGACGAGGCAGAGGUGGUCCUUCGACAAAUGAUUGAUAGCGGUGUUUGACCGAAUGCUGUGACAUACAGUAGCCUGAUCCAUGGAUAUUCCACUUCAGGCCAGUUUGAAGAGGUAGUUAGGUUAUUGGAAGAAAUGAGAGGUCAAGGUGUCAAACCAAAUGUUUUUACUUGCAACACAGUCAUGGACUACCUUUGCAAGCAUGGAAGAACAAAAGAAGCUGCAGAACUUUUUUAUUCCAUGGCUGAGAAGGGCCAUAAACCUAAUUUGGUCUCAUAAUCUAUUAUGCUUCAUGGGUAAGCUAUAGAAGGAUCCCUUGUUGAAAUGACUGAUCUCUGUGAGCUGAUGGCAAGAGACGGUAUUGUACCCUAUCUCCAUUGUUUCAGCAUAUUGAUUAAUGCAUAUGCUAAGUGUGGAAUGAUAGAUGUGGCUAUACUUUUCUUCAAAGACAUGUUGAAGCAGGGAGUGAACCCUGAUGAAGUCACAUAUUUAGCUGUGAUAGCCGGGUAUUGCAGAGUGGGCAUGAUGGAUGAUGCUAUGGAAAAAUUCAAUGAGAUGAUUGAUAUGGGAGUACCACAUAACGCAACUGUUUACAGGUGUAUGAUUCAGGGUUACUUAAAUCAUGGUGAUUUCUUGAAAGCAAAGGAAUUGAUUACUGAAAUGAAGACCAAGGGUAUCCAUCCUAGAUGCGGAAAAGCCAAAGAAUUGAUCCAGGGCAGUAGCGGAUCAGUGGACAACAUUCCAGUGGCUAGGGGUCUACACUACACCAAAAUUAGUAUGAUGGACAAACAUUGCACUAGUAAAACUAAAACUAGUAAAUUGUUUGUGGGGGCCAUGACCCCCAUGACCCCACCCCUAGAUCCGCCACUGACCCAGGGUACCUCAUGUCACAACUCUUUUACAGGUGCAUGUUCCAGGGUUGUUUUCAUCAUGGUAAUUACAUAA
Molecule: ribosomal RNA, 1830 nt
Filed under: Triticum aestivum (bread wheat)
Lineage: Eukaryota; Viridiplantae; Streptophyta; Magnoliopsida; Poales; Poaceae
Description: partial small subunit ribosomal RNA
Source: RNAcentral